CUUUUUUCCUACUUACUUUGUUAGAAUUUGUAACUUACAAGUUCAUCGAGUCGAGCCCUACUUCCCCGUUUUUGCGUGGAUAUUCAACUGGUAAAACUUCCAGAACCAUUAUGUGUUUUGGAUAAAGCCGAAAUGAUAAAAAGUUUGUUCCGAAAGUUGGAAGCAAUGUGUCUGUAUAAGUUGUGGAAUAUCUUUGGGAAGGCAUACAAGAAGACAAAAUCACAGGCCAUAAGCUUAGGGAAAGAAAUGAAGAGUGACAUUAUAUAGAAAAACAAAAAUAUCUCCGAGACAGAUUCCUGAUGGAUGCUCAUGUAUGCGUUGUUUGCAGGAUGAGCUCACCUCAAAAGUAUUAAUAUCUAGUGAACAUAAGAGCUGUGUUAAGUGUGCCGUUCCGUUGCAUUGUAUGUAGUUAGUAGCUAUUUAUGUUCAUAAAUGUUGUUAAACUACGAGCUUAAAUCACUUUAUAAUUUAUAUUAUCAUAUCAUUAAAUAGUUAAAUAAGCUAGUUAGGCACAUAACCCAUAUAUUUUAAUGUUAUUGUCAAGUUUAUUCUAUACCUACUUACUAAUAUGUUACCAUAUUAAGUUCCUUGACAUGAUUUAUGUAAUGACUAUGUACUAACAUCAUGAAGGCAAAAGGCGAAGAGGGAGGCCAAUCAAAAGAUGGGAGGAUGACCUACCUAAGGGGUGGAAACGAUACACACAAAGUAGAGCAGAUUGGCGCUUGAUGGAGGAGGCCUAUGUCUCAGGACAGCCUGAUUAGAAUAAGUACUACAUAUAAUAAACCUAUGUAAAGUAGAACUGUACAUCGGUGAAUAAAGGCUAUUUUUAUUUUA
Molecule: long non-coding RNA, 834 nt
Organism: Pectinophora gossypiella (pink bollworm)
Lineage: Eukaryota; Metazoa; Arthropoda; Insecta; Lepidoptera; Gelechiidae
Exons: 3
Source: RefSeq, a predicted model, not a curated record